This 498-nucleotide ribosomal RNA is filed under the name uncultured bacterium. RNAcentral describes it as "partial 16S ribosomal RNA". It matches the Rfam family "Bacterial small subunit ribosomal RNA", at positions 28 to 507 of the family's 1533-position model. The record is from RNAcentral.
GACGAACGCUGGCGGCGUGCCUAAUACAUGCAAGUCGAACGAGAGCGACCGGUGCUUGCACUGGUCAAUCUAGUGGCGAACGGGUGAGUAACACGUGGGUAACCUGCCCAUCAGAGGGGGAUAACAUCCGGAAACGGAUGCUAAAACCGCAUAGGUCUUCGAGCCGCAUGGCUUGAAGAGGAAAAGAGGCGCAAGCUUCUGCUGAUGGAUGGACCCGCGGUGCAUUAGCUAGUUGGUGAGGUAACGGCUCACCAAGGCCGUGAUGCAUAGCCGACCUGAGAGGGUGAUCGGCCACAUUGGGACUGAGACACGGCCCAAACUCCUACGGGAGGCAGCAGUAGGGAAUCUUCCGCAAUGGACGCAAGUCUGACGGAGCAACGCCGCGUGAGUGAAGAAGGUUUUCGGAUCGUAAAACUCUGUUGUUAGAGAAGAACAAGUGCUAGUGUAACUGUUAGCGCCUUGACGGUAUCUAACCAGAAAGCCACGGCUAACUACGUG